UGUCUCGUGGUGUAACGGUAGCACUAGGGAUUUUGACUCCCUCAGUCCUGGUUCGAAUCCAGGCGAGACAA
Molecule: transfer RNA, 71 nt
Filed under: Planctomycetota bacterium
Lineage: Bacteria; Pseudomonadati; Planctomycetota
Description: Planctomycetes bacterium (soil metagenome) tRNA-Gln
Rfam family: tRNA
About the family: Transfer RNA (tRNA) molecules are approximately 80 nucleotides in length. Their secondary structure includes four short double-helical elements and three loops (D, anti-codon, and T loops).
Source: RNAcentral